AGUCUGUGAUGAUAAACUUAAGGCUUGUUUCUCAAACAUUCGCAGUGGCCGCCCGAGAGUUUUCGCCCCGCCAGGCUUGAGAAUUGAUGCGGUUUUAUCCUUCCUUGGAUGUCUGAGACU
This 120-nucleotide small nucleolar RNA is filed under the name Marchantia polymorpha subsp. ruderalis. RNAcentral describes it as "Small nucleolar RNA SNORD14". It matches the Rfam family "Small nucleolar RNA SNORD14". Rfam says of the family: U14 small nucleolar RNA (U14 snoRNA) is required for early cleavages of eukaryotic precursor rRNAs. In yeasts, this molecule possess a stem-loop region (known as the Y-domain) which is essential for function. A similar structure, but with a different consensus sequence, is found in plants, but is absent in vertebrates. Lineage: Eukaryota; Viridiplantae; Streptophyta; Marchantiopsida; Marchantiales; Marchantiaceae. The record is from Rfam by way of RNAcentral.